RNAcentral lists this ribosomal RNA (423 nucleotides) under uncultured prokaryote. Its description in RNAcentral is "bacterial SSU rRNA". It matches the Rfam family "Bacterial small subunit ribosomal RNA", at positions 355 to 795 of the family's 1533-position model. The record is from RNAcentral.
UAGGGAAUAUUAGAAAUGGACGAAAGUCUGAUCUAGCAACACCGCGUGUGCGAAGCAGGCCUUCGGGUUGUAAAGCACUUUUUGGAAGGAUUAGGAAGGAAUGUACUUCCAGAAUAAGUCUCGGCUAACUACGUGCCAGCAGCCGCGGUAACACGUAGGAGGCAAACGUUAUCCGGAUUUACUGGGCGUAAAGCGCGUGUAGGUGGUUCUGUAAGUAGGGCGUGAAAGCUCCUGGCUCAACUGGGAGAGGACGUUCUAAACUGCAGAGCUAGAGGAUGGUAGAGGGAGGUGGAAUUCCUGGUGUAGCGGUGGAAUGCGCAGAUAUCCGGACGAACACCAGUGGCGAAAGCGGCCUCCUGGACCAUUCCUGACACUCAGACGCGAAAGCUAGCGUAGCAAACGGGAUUCGAUCCCCUGCUCGUU